RNAcentral lists this ribosomal RNA (435 nucleotides) under uncultured bacterium. Its description in RNAcentral is "partial 16S ribosomal RNA". It matches the Rfam family "Bacterial small subunit ribosomal RNA", at positions 29 to 507 of the family's 1533-position model. The record is from RNAcentral.
AACGAACGCUGGCGGCAGGCUUAACACAUGCAAGUCGAACGCGUGCAGCAAUGCACGAGUGGCUCACGGGUGCGUAACGCGUGGAUAUCUGCCUUUUGGUUCGGAAUAACCCCGGGAAACUGGGGCUAAUACCGGAUGGUUCCUACGGGAUAAAGAUUUAUCGCCAAAAGAUGAGUCCGCGUCCGAUUAGCUAGUUGGUGAGGUAAUGGCUCACCAAGGCGACGAUCGGUAGCUGGUCUGAGAGGACGAUCAGCCACACUGGGACUGAGACACGGCCCAGACUCCUACGGGAGGCAGCAGUGGGGAAUAUUGGACAAUGGGGGCAACCCUGAUCCAGCCAUGCCGCGUGAGUGAUGAAGGCCUUCGGGUUGUAAAGCUCUUUUGGCGGGGACGAUGAUGACGGUACCCGCAGAAUAAGCCCCGGCUAACUUCGUG